GUUUUGCUGUAGGCUUGAAGAUCACCAUUAAUUGUGAGAUAUAUAAGAUAGCCAGUUGGCAGAAUUAAGAUUAUAAGAACAUGAAACUAUGAGUAUCUUAUUUUCAAACAACUGAUUAAUUUAGCGUGAGUGAAGCUACUGUGUAAGGCCAUUGGAUAUACCAGACAUACAGCACUUGUGUUUAUACUGCGGUUUUUUUUUUGUUAUACUCCAUCUGAUUCAGUACAAUGUAGACUAUACCGCAUCCAGUUCAAUCUGGUCAAGUCAGGUCUGGUUGAGUCUGACAACUCGUAUAAAAGCGGGCCCCAAAUUCAACUCCAAAUCAGUUCUAGUGCUACCUCGGCCAACGAUACAAUCAUCAUGAAGUUUACUUACAUUUUCCUCGUCCUUGUGGUCAUCGUGCUCGUCUUGAGCGUGGCGGACGCACACGGCAACAAGACAAGGAAGCGCACCCGCGACUUUUCCGGUGAAGACAAGAGGGAGCAUCGCGAAGGACACCGUCAAAAUAGUACUAGAACCAGACGUCCGAGGUCAACCACGACAACCGCCGUGCCUACGACGACCGCCGCACCAGUGCCUACUGCGUAAUCCACAACCAACACGACUACAAUAACCCCUGCAGGAAAGCAUGUUUGAUUAGAGUAAUUCCGAUUACCAAAUGAUGAUCGAGCUAUUCUUAACGGCAAAAACUGUUAAAAGUUCUCUCAUGAAAUAAACCCAGCUUACGAAUCCAUAA
This is a long non-coding RNA of Anopheles gambiae (African malaria mosquito), 736 nucleotides long. RefSeq lists it as uncharacterized. The record is from RefSeq and is a predicted model, not a curated record. The transcript has 2 exons. NCBI's taxonomy places the organism in Eukaryota, Metazoa, Arthropoda, Insecta, Diptera, Culicidae.